GUAGUCAUAUAGGAAAUCACAUGUUUUAUUCGUGUCAUCUAUGACUUGGGAUUUCCCACAAAAAAGCCGAUACAAGUUAGGAUAUUAGAGGAAAACUGAUAUGUUACACCCCCGCCACUCAUACAACUGUGAAUCUACGACUCUUCCAUUGGGUUUAUUGUUGCCAGGGAUGUGUCUUUGUCACCGCCUAGGCCGGCCCAGGAACCGACAAAAAUGGGGUUCAUUCUGCUCAUGGUAAACUCAUCAUCGUUGAUGAAGUGUGGCAUGGGGCCAUAGGAGAACUUGCCAUCGUCGAGCCAAGAAAUCAAUGAUAACACACCCUUUUUGUGCACAAUAGUGGCAGACGCUCCCUUGAUUAAGCUAAUAAUGUCGGAAGCAAAAGGAGGCUCCUGAAGCGAGGUAUACAUGGUACUAGUGGCAGGGGCGCGCCCUUGGCGCGCCUCUUGAGCGUUCAUGUGCGUGUUUGUAUACUUAUAUUUAGGAACGGAGAGUGUACGAGAUAUUUAGCGAUAACAUAGAAUUCUGAAUUUGUAUGCUUCUUGUUCGUACAAAGAAUUGUUAAUUAUGUUUGUAUAUUGUGUGGCAUUAAGAACAUAUUUUCUUUUAGUAUAUGUAACUAACAUAGUCUUAUUAGUUUUAAAGGUCAAUGUGAAGAUAUGAAAAAAAGUAAUGCUUAGUAUUAUAUUUGUAGAAGCGAUUAAAUUGAAUGAAGAGGUAUUAUUAGUAGAAGUGCGGACAUAUUUGUAUUAAACAUGCAAAGGAAACAUACUUGGUCUUAUUAAUACAAAUAGCAAAGAAAGUGCUUCGGGCAGUGAACACUUAUAAGACGUCUAAUCGGAUGUUGCCCAUUCAUGGUGGCAAAUGCAACAAUACGAAGUAGAGUCUGCUCCAUUGCGUCAUCGGUGCGGUGUGCUGUCAUCGGAUUGGCAAAAUAAGUCAUACGUUGAUGUGGAAAAACUAUAGGCGAGCUUCAUGAUGGCUUCAGUUGACGGUUCCUGCUUGGUUGUGUGAAUGCAUAAAUGUAUUAGUAAAUUAUAGUUCUGGUAGAUAUUAUACUUAUCAAAAAAAUUGAAGUAAGAAAAGUUUUUUUGUAUGCCAUACCUUAUAUAUAGGGUGGUUAUAAUGCCCUGGUGCCUACAGAGCUAGUAGGUCAUUGAUGUUUGCUGCAGUUCGCUGCACAUCAAUCAGUAUGCUUGCUGUCCUGACGGUCACAUCUGGAUCUUUGUGAAGGAUCAUAGUGGAAGCUACAACUGAAUCCACAACCUUUACUAUGAGGUUCUUUGUCAUCGUCGUAGGGUCGUUGCACCAGGCGAUGCAUCGAUAUGACUCGGAUGUCAGCAGGAGCUCUGCGUUUCUAUCCGGGAGCUCGAUGUAGCAGAAUUGUGCAAGCAAGAGUUUGAUCAGUUUCUCUAUGCAUAAGUGUGCUGGAAUCCUAUUGAUCAUCAACUGUACGCAGUUGUUGACUGUACUUUUGAUAGAGCCUGUAUCAGGGCUCCAUGGGAUAAGACCUUGGAUGUCUUUGGAAUGCGUUGAUAGUAUCAGUUUUUGUAUGGCUUCACCUGUUGUGUUGUUU
This 1573-nucleotide long non-coding RNA is filed under the name Hordeum vulgare. RNAcentral describes it as "long non-coding RNA (HVUL_LNC020065)". The record is from RNAcentral. Lineage: Eukaryota; Viridiplantae; Streptophyta; Magnoliopsida; Poales; Poaceae.